This 465-nucleotide ribosomal RNA is filed under the name uncultured bacterium. Its description in RNAcentral is "partial 16S ribosomal RNA". It matches the Rfam family "Bacterial small subunit ribosomal RNA", at positions 28 to 507 of the family's 1533-position model. The record is from RNAcentral.
GACGAACGCUGGCGGCGUGCUUAACACAUGCAAGUCGUACGGUAAGGCCCUUUCGGGGGUGCACGAGUGGCGAACGGGUGAGUAACACGUGAGUAACCUGCCCACAACUUUGGGAUAACGCUAGGAAACUGGUGCUAAUACUGGAUAUGUGCUCCUGCUGCAUGGUGGGGGUUGGAAAGCUCCGGCGGUUGUGGAUGGACUCGCGGCCUAUCAGCUUGUUGGUGGGGUAGUGGCCUACCAAGGCGGCGACGGGUAGCCGGCCUGAGAGGGUGACCGGCCACAUUGGGACUGGGAUACGGCCCAGACUCCUACGGGAGGCAGCAGUGGGGAAUAUUGCACAAUGGGCGCAAGCCUGAUGCAGCAACGCCGCGUGCGGGAUGACGGCCUUCGGGUUGUAAACCGCUUUCAGCAGGGACGAAGCUUUUUGUGACGGUACCUGCAGAAGAAGCACCGGCUAACUACGUG